GAAUGCUGGCGGCGUGCCUAAUACAUGCAAGUCGAGCGGUAACAGGGCUUCACCGUUCCUGUCGCACCUGGCCUAAGUGCAGGUAGUUGAUACGAGGGAACAGUGAAGCUGCUGACGAGCGGCGGACGGCUGAGUAACGCGUGGGAACAUACCCCAAACUGAGGGAUAACUAGUCGAAAGAUUAGCUAAUACCGCAUGUGAUCUACGGAUUAAAGGAUUUAUCCGGUUUGGGAAUGGCCUGCGUAGGAUUAGAUAGUUGGUGAGAUAAUAGCCCACCAAGUCGACGAUCCUUAGAUGGUUUGAGAGGAUGAUCAUCCAGACUGGGACUGAGACACGGCCCAGACUCCUACGGGAGGCAGCAGUAGGGAAUCUUUCACAAUGGGCGAAAGCCUGAUGGAGCAACGCCGCGUGCAGGAUGAAGGCCUUCGGGUUGUAAACUGCUUUUAUAAGCGAGAAAUAUGAUGGUAACUUAUGAAUAAGGAUCGGCUAACUACGUGCCAGCCGCGGC
This 508-nucleotide ribosomal RNA is filed under the name uncultured bacterium. RNAcentral's name for it is "bacterial SSU rRNA". It matches the Rfam family "Bacterial small subunit ribosomal RNA", at positions 31 to 518 of the family's 1533-position model. The record is from RNAcentral.